CCUUCGGGGGUGCUCGAGUGGCGAACGGGUGAGUAACACGUGGGUGAUCUGCCUCGUACUCUGGGAUAAGCCUGGGAAACUGGGUCUAAUACUGGAUAGGACCGCACUUUAGUGUGUGUGGUGGAAAGUUUUUUCGGUACGAGAUGAGCCCGCGGCCUAUCAGCUUGUUGGUGGGGUAAUGGCCUACCAAGGCGUCGACGGGUAGCCGGCCUGAGAGGGUGGACGGCCACAUUGGGACUGAGAUACGGCCCAGACUCCUACGGGAGGCAGCAGUGGGGAAUAUUGCACAAUGGGCGCAAGCCUGAUGCAGCGACGCCGCGUGAGGGAUGACGGCCUUCGGGUUGUAAACCUCUUUCGACAGGGACGAAGCUUUUUGUGACGGUACCUGUAUAAGAAGCACCGGCUAACUACGUGCCAGCAGCCGCGGUAAUACGUAGGGUGCGAGCGUUGUCCGGAAUUACUGGGCGUAAAGAGCUCGUAGGUGGUUUGUCGCGUCGUCUGUGAAAUUCCGGGGCUUAACUCCGGGCGUGCAGGCGAUACGGGCAUAACUUGAGUGCUGUAGGGGAGACUGGAAUUCCUGGUGUAGCGGUGGAAUGCGCAGAUAUCAGGAGGAACACCGAUGGCGAAGGCAGGUCUCUGGGCAGUAACUGACGCUGAGGAGCGAAAGCAUGGGGAGCGAACAGGAUUAGAUACCCUGGUAGUCCAUGCCGUAAACGGUGGGCGCUAGGUGUGAGGGUCUUCCACGACUUUCGUGCCGUAGCUAACGCAUUAAGCGCC
RNAcentral lists this ribosomal RNA (777 nucleotides) under Corynebacterium pseudotuberculosis. RNAcentral describes it as "bacterial SSU rRNA". It matches the Rfam family "Bacterial small subunit ribosomal RNA", at positions 77 to 868 of the family's 1533-position model. The record is from RNAcentral. Lineage: Bacteria; Bacillati; Actinomycetota; Actinomycetes; Mycobacteriales; Corynebacteriaceae.